Molecule: long non-coding RNA, 618 nt
Organism: Nematolebias whitei (Rio pearlfish)
Lineage: Eukaryota; Metazoa; Chordata; Actinopteri; Cyprinodontiformes; Rivulidae
Exons: 3
Source: RefSeq, a predicted model, not a curated record
GAGGAAUCCCUCAACAGCACUAUCGACCCAGCUUGUUUGCAGGAACCUCCUCUGGCUCUGGACUUGAUAAAACAACUUGACGUGUUUGGAAUAUGCCUCUACGCCAUGCUCACAUCAAUGUGCUGCCUGACCCUGCUGCUAUACCUGGAGCAGUGUUGGUUUAUUUAUAAAAAGAUGCCGUAUCCCAAGAAGACCACCCUCAUUUGGAUAAGUGGUGCUGCACCAGCGAUCAGCACCAUGGCCUGUUUUGGGAUGUGGAUUCCUCGGGCGGUCAUGAUCACAGACAUGGCGUCUAACUGGUAUGUUUUAUUUCUUUACUACACCUAAACUGGAGCACAGCCUCUGUGUUUUCUUAAAACAUUAACAAUCAGACACUUUGAGUUAGACAAGGAGCCAAAAGACUGCCACAGCUGUGUUUAUCAACUGGUGGCCCAUGGCCCGUUUCAAGUUUGUUGGAGGGGACUUUUUCGGCCAGUGGAGGUGACAUUAGAAAACUAAAACAUAUAAUAACUGCUAAUAGUUAUAGAUAUUUGUUUAAUUGAUUAAUGUAAGGAAGGGAAAAAAAGGUUUUGUCUCUUCACUUUACCUUUGUUUUUAUUCUGAUGCAUGCUCAAUAAU